AUGUUGGUGCUGUUCGAGACACCCGCGAAGUUCGUCCUGUUGAUCAAGGUUCUGGACGAGGGGAAGAUCAGCGAAGUCGAGGUGAGUGGCUCUGAUACGUCUAUCUAUGUACCUGUGGUUUUGGCUUGUAGGAUUUGUGGAAGGGUUUUGGCUCGUCAGACAGAGCAAGAAAGGGACUGCCGUGUGUCUCAGACUCGGAGAAGGAGAAAAAGAAGAAGCAUGCCGAGGAGGUUUUCACAGAUGCGGCAUGGAAACCUGGAAGAGAAAACACCACAGGCAGAAGCUAUGGCGCUACAGGUGGCGGCACAAGUGGUCAUUGCAAUCACUACAGGAAACAUCAUGUUCUUCACGGACAAUCAGGUUCUGGCCCAAGCCGCACAAGCAAGGGAUAUUCUUAAAAUCCCUGGUCAUUGGCAGAUAAGAAAUCAGUUGGCAAAUUUCUUUGCCACCACUAGCCGCACUCAGAUAGCUGUUCACCAUAUUCCUAGGAAGCUUAAUGACAGGGCUCAUAACAAUGCACGUAAAGCUUACUCGUUACAAUGCAAUAUUAGCCCUGUUAUGACUUGUAAUAGCAGGUCUCAUUUAGUUGAACACUGUCCCUAUGCUUCUGAAGCUAGGCAAUCUAAGCAUCAGCAAUUGUAA
This 642-nucleotide ribosomal RNA is filed under the name Triticum aestivum (bread wheat). RNAcentral's name for it is "partial small subunit ribosomal RNA". The record is from RNAcentral. Lineage: Eukaryota; Viridiplantae; Streptophyta; Magnoliopsida; Poales; Poaceae.